UACGGAGGGUGCAAGCGUUGUUCGGAUUUACUGGGCGUAAAGGGCGCGUAGGCGGCCACCGCAAGUCGACUGUGAAAUCUCUGGGCUUAACCCAGAACGGUCAGCCGAUACUGCGGGGCUAGAGUGCAGAAGGGGCAACUGGAAUUCUCGGUGUAGCGGUGAAAUGCGUAGAUGUCGAGAGGAACACCUGCGGCGAAGGCGGGUUGCUGGGCUGACACUGACGCUGAGGCGCGAAAGCCAGGGGAGCAAACGGG
RNAcentral lists this ribosomal RNA (254 nucleotides) under uncultured bacterium. RNAcentral's name for it is "partial 16S ribosomal RNA". It matches the Rfam family "Bacterial small subunit ribosomal RNA", at positions 524 to 776 of the family's 1533-position model. The record is from RNAcentral.